UUGUGCCGAUCAUUGAUGCCACUGGACCAAGCGAGAUCCACUUGAUCGCCGCCGUGAAGGGGCAAUUAGGGCUUCAAGGGUCUCGGAUUGGAGACGUUGGGUAUUAGUGAGUUGUGCUUGGGCUGUCGAGCAGAGAUCAAAGGGGUUGAUGCUUGAUCAAUAAUCUCCCUGCUUGAUUCUUUCUUGAUCCGAAUUGUGGAGUGGAAUCCAACACCUUGCUGUUCUGUGGACUUUUUGGUUCGGCAGCCACCCAUCCAUCAGUGUUCCCUUGAUCCAGAAUCAACUCGGCAGCAACCCAUCCAUCAGUAUUCCCUUGAUCCAGAAUCAACAGCAGUUGGAUUGAGGACGCUGAUUCGAGACGGGCGUCUCGACUUCAGAUUUGGAUUGUACCUUCUAUUUGAGGUUGAGGCCAUCGGGAGAUAUUCCAGUCGCUAGCCCCUUUAUCGCGAGGAUUUGCCUGUUGUCGGGAUCUGUUUUGUUUUUGCAUCAUAUAUACUCGUGAUGUGGAUUUUGUAUUGUGGACUUUAUGAUGCACAUUGGGUUUACUACUUUUGUUUUCCGCUGCAAAUAUUUCAUUACUUCGUGGAUUUCGUUUCUUCGUUGUAGUGGAGUAGGAUGUGU
This is a long non-coding RNA of Zingiber officinale, 621 nucleotides long. RefSeq lists it as uncharacterized. NCBI's taxonomy places the organism in Eukaryota, Viridiplantae, Streptophyta, Magnoliopsida, Zingiberales, Zingiberaceae. The record is from RefSeq and is a predicted model, not a curated record. The transcript is spliced from 4 exons.